Molecule: ribosomal RNA, 220 nt
Filed under: uncultured bacterium
Lineage: Bacteria
Description: partial 16S ribosomal RNA
Rfam family: Bacterial small subunit ribosomal RNA
Source: RNAcentral
AAUCAACGCUGGCGGCGUGCCUCAGACAUGCAAGUCGAACGCGAAAUUUCCCUUCGGGGAGAAAGUAGAGUGGCGCACGGGUGAGUAACACGUAGGUAAUUUGCCUUCGGGUGGGGAGUAACAGCCGGAACGGCUGCUAAUACCGCAUAAUGCAGCGGCUCGACAUCGAGACAGUUGUUAAAGCGGGGAGUCGCAAGACCUCGCGCCUGAAGAGAAGCCU